This is a long non-coding RNA of Ictalurus furcatus (blue catfish), 1278 nucleotides long. RefSeq lists it as uncharacterized. The transcript has 2 exons. NCBI's taxonomy places the organism in Eukaryota, Metazoa, Chordata, Actinopteri, Siluriformes, Ictaluridae. The record is from RefSeq and is a predicted model, not a curated record.
UUUGUGACUAUAAGUCAUUCCCUUCAAAUGCUAUUGAAGUUAGAAUCGUGUAUAACAAUGUCGUAUGUAACUUUAGAGACGGUCCCUUAAUUUCCGCAUUUCCGCGAAUAUCGAAUGUCCAACGUCAAGACCAACUUUAUUCCAGUCUGCAGCAGUGCAUAAAAUAAUGCAGAUUCUUCAAUCUCUAGAGUUUACUCAGAAUGGUGCAAUAAAGAAAAAACAUCCAUCCAGUGACAGUGAUGCGGACAGAAACGCCUUGUUUAUGAGAGCUGUCAACGAACAAUGGCCAGAAAAGCAUCUCAGAAGGCACAACUACUAUGAGCUUUUAGCUAAUAUUUCUGCCUUGUCUUUUUCUGUGAUAGCUAUUCUUCCUUCUCCUGUUAAUACCGGUAUAUUUCUGGUUUUAUACAGCCCAAUCAUCUUCUUUAACACACCUCACACAGUUCGUUCCUUCUGAUAUUCUUGACUGCCUCUGGUGUCAAUGUUAUUUUUAACACUAAAUGCUUGAUGUCUAUUUUUAAUUGUAUGAGAACAGUCUUCACUGCACCAUGGAACAACUUUCUCCCUUCCAUUUCCUUACACUUUAGGGAUAGAUUUCUCUGCUGCUCUGAUUAAUAUUGAGCUUAAUUUCUCUGUGCAAUUAUGAAGUUCUCACUGUACCUGUUGCUUUGGGUUUCGUCAACACUCACUUGCACCACCUGAUGGUGGAGACGGACUAGCAGCAGGUGGAGAUUAUGCAUCAUGCAUGGAUAUGCUUCUGCUGUUCCUGCAGUUCCCAGAUGUGCAGUGCUGAAUAUCUUACUGAAUCUUACCCACUGAAUUUGUGGAAGCGAAUUUUUAAAGCGAAAUCAAAUGGACUAAAAUUUGCCUGUCGAAUAUUAUAGGUGGUAUUUUUAAACAAACUGAGUAUUUUUUUAAUGAACUUCAGAAGGCAUAUAUUGAUUAUUGAAUUUUUCAUAAUGAAAUUGUAUGAUAAAUGUUUCCAAUUGAAAUAUUCCCAGCUUAAAUAUACAACUAUGUCAAACUGCACCCCCAAAAAAUUUAAGGCCUGGAAAUACAAUGCAUUAAAAUACAAGAACUCUUAUUACAAAGCAUUAUAUUUUCAAUUAGUGCAAUUCAACAUGCUUUUUUUUAAUUAUUUCAAAGACAUGUCAUUAUUUUACUUCCAUAUGAUAUCCCCGUCUUAACUUUGUUUGAGGUUAUAUUGUUAUUAAUGUGAUCCUGCUCCACCAAAAUCUACACUCACUCCAUAUCAGUAAAGUGCUUUUCUAUAGUCAA